AACGAACGCUGGCGGCAUGCCUAACACAUGCAAGUCGAACGAGACCUUCGGGUCUAGUGGCGCACGGGUGCGUAACGCGUGGGAAUCUGCCCUUGGUUCGGAAUAACAGUUAGAAAUGACUGCUAAUACCGGAUAAUGUCUUCGGACCAAAGAUUUAUCGCCCAGGGAUGAGCCCGCGUAGGAUUAGCUAGUUGGUGAGGUAAAGGCUCACCAAGGCGACGAUCCUUAGCUGGUCUGAGAGGAUGAUCAGCCACACUGGGACUGAGACACGGCCCAGACUCCUACGGGAGGCAGCAGUGGGGAAUAUUGGACAAUGGCGAAAGCCUGAUCCAGCAAUGCCGCGUGAGUGAUG
This 352-nucleotide ribosomal RNA is filed under the name uncultured bacterium. Its description in RNAcentral is "bacterial SSU rRNA". It matches the Rfam family "Bacterial small subunit ribosomal RNA", at positions 29 to 410 of the family's 1533-position model. The record is from RNAcentral.